RNAcentral lists this unclassified non-coding RNA (1090 nucleotides) under Polistes canadensis. RNAcentral describes it as "uncharacterized LOC106784598, transcript variant X1". The record is from RNAcentral. Lineage: Eukaryota; Metazoa; Arthropoda; Insecta; Hymenoptera; Vespidae.
UGGAGUACGAAUACUCAUGUGACUCAGUAAUACGUAUUUAUAUAGAUAAAGAAAAGAUUUAUGUGAGAAGUGGGAGGAAGUCUUAAAGGAAAAGAAACGGUAGAUUCCUUUUCCCCCACUUUUAACUUUCUCGAAAUCCACAGAUUAGGAUUUUUGUGACACAAUCAUAUGAUUUCAAAUUUACGAUGGAUACACUUAUGUUCACGGUCACCGUCCAUGAUAAAAAAGACAUUUAAAUAUACACACUAUCCAAUAAAUUAGCUACAGUGCUUAUCCACGCUCACAUAUAUAUUCAUACAACUUACGUAGAAUUGCUCUAAAGCACGUUUUACUUGCCACAUACACGUAUACACAUACAUAGGCAGAAUAUUAUGAAUAUACAGAAUCAUGGUGUACGACACCGGUAAAUUAUUUAACAGGAUGUGAAAUUUUACUGAUAUAUAUCUUAUCCUAUUAACGCACUCGAAAAAUCUACAAUUCUUAUCGAUAAAGAAAAAAGAAUUGCGAAUCAACAGAUGCAAUUUAAAAUUUCAUAUCUGUCAAAUUUGAUAAUAUAUAUAUAUAUAUAUGUAAUUAAAAAGAUUGAGUAUAUAAAUGUAAUAAAAAUUAUUAAAUUGUAACAAUGGAGGAUAAGUCGUUAAGAGAUGCUUCGAUUAUAUACGAUAAACAAUUUAAUGAAAAUAUGAAACUAGCAAAGUAUUUCUUAAAGCAAUUACGUGACAAACAAGAAUCAAAAUUCUAAAAUAUCUACGAAUGGAUUAUCACAAAAUGGUACACAAUCGUCAAAUAUUAAAUAUCAUUCGAGGUGGUCACAAAAUCAUCGUACAUAUGUUGCUGUUAAACCUUUACCCGGAAGAGGGGCAUUAAUAUACAUGGCUGUAUCUAAAAAUCCGGGAUUAGAAAAUUGGGAUUUAUAGGUAACAUUAAUAAAAUGUACGCAAUAAUUGACAAUGAUAUAUUUCUUUUUGAAUUUCAAUUUGAAACACAACUAUCAAGAUUAUAUAAGUAAAAUAGAUCUUUAGAAAAUUCCUGCCUUUUUAUGUUUUAAGGUUUAAAUAUAUAUGUAUAAAGUUUUACAAAGAGAGACACU